Molecule: ribosomal RNA, 339 nt
Filed under: Triticum aestivum (bread wheat)
Lineage: Eukaryota; Viridiplantae; Streptophyta; Magnoliopsida; Poales; Poaceae
Description: partial small subunit ribosomal RNA
Source: RNAcentral
AUGAUAGGUGCAAUUAUCUCUCCGUGUAGCUCAACCUCGAAUCGCUUGUCCUGGGCAGCCGUGGUCUCGGCCAGAUUCAGAGGUCUAAAUAAGCAUUACCGUGCAGUUUAUGAACACUUUCGGUUUGUAGUUCUGUUCCCGUCUGGUAUAUUCAGAAAUGGCAUAGCUUUCAUCAGUUUGGUAGUUCCGUUCCCGGCGGAUACAUUCAGAAACGACAUUCACCAGAAACCAUGCCUUGCCGGUGUUUAUAGCAUUAUAAAACGUACUACAUCAGAACAUGCGUGCCAUUUAACGAGAAAGGUGAAAACGUGGACGGGCAUUAUGCUCAUUAGGACAUGA